GGCGUAGGCGGUCUUUCAAGUCGGAUGUAAAAUCUCCCGGCUCAACUGGGAGGGCGCAUUCGAUACUGUUAGACUUGAGGGCAGCAGAGGAAAGCGGAAUUCCCGGUGUAGUGGUGAAAUGCGUAGAUAUCGGGAGGAACACCAGUGGCGAAGGCGGCUUUCUGGGCUGCAUCUGACGCUGAGGCCCGAAAGCGUGGGGAGCGAACAGGAUUAGAUACCCUGGUAGUCC
RNAcentral lists this ribosomal RNA (229 nucleotides) under uncultured bacterium. RNAcentral's name for it is "partial 16S ribosomal RNA". It matches the Rfam family "Bacterial small subunit ribosomal RNA", at positions 568 to 796 of the family's 1533-position model. The record is from RNAcentral.